GAAACAAAAAAAUGAAUUUCUAUAUAAAUAUCUGUAGUCCUUAUCCUAGUGAGUAAUACGAGAAAAAAAAAACACAAAAUUUUAGUAUCUUUAUUAUCUCCGGAGAUACUACGACGCGUUCAUCUUCGUGGGACGCUCUGUAUUAUCGAUUGAGCUCUUUUGUACUUUACGCAUUACGCGUGCCGUUUGUUCGUAUCCGGAGCGUACCGAAUAGAAAAUUAUACGAUAGUGACACAGUGUUUCCACGAAUGUACAUUUAUUUUAGAGUUAUUUCUUCAGUACGGAUGUCGCUUGUGCAAAGGACGGAAUGUAGCCGGGAAAAGCGGUACACCUAGGUACGUACGUUAGUUGAGGGGAUCCGAUGGUGUUAUUUAUCGACGGCGCGGGUAUAAUGUAUAUUGUACAAGUAACGCGUGUAACUCGUUGACUCUAAAUAUCCGAUUGAUUAAAUGGAAACUUCUAGUUUAUAGGACAGUUGAAUAGGAUUUGUAGUGCGCCGCGACCUUUUAUUGU
This is a non-coding RNA of Cinara cedri, 513 nucleotides long. The record is from the annotation of a GenBank genome assembly. Lineage: Eukaryota; Metazoa; Arthropoda; Insecta; Hemiptera; Aphididae.